GCUCAUGGGAGGUUAGACGGAAUCAUACUUCGUGAGCUCGUGUUUCUUGCCGGUCCAAGCAAAGAACACUAAAUCUCAGGACUCGCUUGCCGUAGCCUCGUCCAGUUGGGCUAACGACGAGUUAAAUUUGAGAACUGGACUAAGCAUGUAGAUCCAAGGAUCGAGUUCUGGCGGACGCGGGUUCAACUCCCGCCGCCUCCACCA
RNAcentral lists this transfer-messenger RNA (204 nucleotides) under Gammaproteobacteria bacterium. RNAcentral's name for it is "partial transfer-messenger RNA". It matches the Rfam family "transfer-messenger RNA", at positions 161 to 374 of the family's 374-position model. From Rfam's summary of the family: Bacterial tmRNA, also known as 10Sa RNA or SsrA, is named for its dual tRNA and mRNA-like properties. Its role is to liberate the mRNA from a stalled ribosome. To accomplish this part of the tmRNA is used as a reading frame that ends in a translation stop signal. The record is from RNAcentral. Lineage: Bacteria; Pseudomonadati; Pseudomonadota; Gammaproteobacteria.